Arachis duranensis is the source of this 409-nucleotide long non-coding RNA. RefSeq lists it as uncharacterized. The record is from RefSeq and is a predicted model, not a curated record. The transcript is spliced from 2 exons. NCBI's taxonomy places the organism in Eukaryota, Viridiplantae, Streptophyta, Magnoliopsida, Fabales, Fabaceae.
UUCAUCGCGCCCCUGACCUAGCGGAGGAGAACGUCAUCGUCGCGCGCCUAAUAAGAGAGAAGGGUCGUGGGGCUGCUGCAUGCAGAAAUAACGUUCGGUAAAGAGAGAUUGGAGAAGAAAGAGAGGCGACGUUGCUGAUGGAGGUUCUGGCAUCGACGAUGUUACAGUUGGCGAAGAAAAAGGUUGAGACGGGUUUGCAGAGGAUCUGGUAGUUUUUUAUGGUUGAUGGCUGGUUUGUAUAAGGUAGGGUAAACAGUUUUAGAUUUGGUUUAAAUUUUGUUUUUGGAUUAGUGAUGGCUGGAUGUAAAUUGGUGUUUGAUGUGGCUGGUUGAUUAAUUUGGUAUGUAGUUGUGUUUGACUGAAAUGGAUUUAGAAUUGAAUGAAUGAAUCUGAAAGUUUUGUUGGUUUA